AACGGCCGUACCAUGCUGAAUAUACCGGUUCUCGUUAGAUCACCGAAGUUAAGCAUCAUUGGGCGCGGUCAGUACUUGGGUGGGUGACCACCUGGGAGAACACCGCGUGCC
This 111-nucleotide ribosomal RNA is filed under the name Caerostris darwini. Lineage: Eukaryota; Metazoa; Arthropoda; Arachnida; Araneae; Araneidae. The record is from RNAcentral.